AUCAUAAUGGGCUUACAUAAGGCCCAAUAAACUCGAAAUAUCUUGAAGGGGGCCCCUACCUUAUCCACACACAAAAUCGAACUGAAGAAGAAGACCCCAAAAAUCUAACUUGAAAACGUUAUCCACUUCGAGAGAGUGACACGUCACGAACCAAAUCCAAAUUUCAAAUAAAGCUUUCCAUAAAUCAAAAUCACAUCUUACUUAAUACUUCUCCCAAAUCGAAAUCACUUAAACUUUAUAAACCCUAAAAUCAUGGCGAUGGCACCGGCAAUGCAGACGACGUUCGUAUCAUCAACGAGCUUUCUGAAACAAGCGAGACCUUCUUCUUCUUCUUCCUCGUGGGGACCGAACAAUGUGAUUCUUCCCAAANNNN
Molecule: long non-coding RNA, 373 nt
Filed under: Capsella grandiflora
Lineage: Eukaryota; Viridiplantae; Streptophyta; Magnoliopsida; Brassicales; Brassicaceae
Description: long non-coding RNA (CGRA_LNC000876)
Source: RNAcentral